Non-coding RNA from Triticum urartu, 115 nucleotides. NCBI's taxonomy places the organism in Eukaryota, Viridiplantae, Streptophyta, Magnoliopsida, Poales, Poaceae. The record is from Rfam.
CAAGUACUCCCUCCGUCUGGAAUUACUUUUCAUCAAAAUGGAUGUGUCUAGAACUAAAAUACAUCUAGAUACAUCCAUUUCAAUGACAAGUAUUUUUGGACGGAGGGAGUACAAG